This 748-nucleotide long non-coding RNA is filed under the name Calidris pugnax (ruff). RNAcentral describes it as "lncRNA (ENSCPUG00000007290.1)". Lineage: Eukaryota; Metazoa; Chordata; Aves; Charadriiformes; Scolopacidae. The record is from RNAcentral.
AGGAGCAGCCUCCCCCUGCUCCCCUGCUCACUGCAGGAGCCCGGAGGAUUUUGGAUUUCGGCACAGAGUUACAUCUUUUGGCUGCUUUCCCUGCCCCCAGCCUGCUGCUGCUUUUUAAGGCAGUUUCUGAAAGGAGGGUCCAUCCCCCAGGAUGGCUGGGGCACUCCCAGGAGCCCAGGAGAACUGAUGUGACUGCUUGGCUGGCGAGCUGCCGUGCCCCAGGGGUAGGGGCACAACCCCAUGGUGCCAGGAGAUGCCUUCUGUCACAGCAGUCAGACACCAAACUCCAACCCGUGCACUUAAUUUUCGGUAUGGAUGCCGAGCAGGCGAGAAGCUGGAUUGGAAACCUUUCUUUACUGCUGCAUCUGCCAAGUGACUACUGAAGCAAAGUGGAGCAGCUCCAAUAGGAAGGUGUGAGAGACACAUCCAGGGAGCCCAAGGGAGAGAGGAGGAAGCUAACCCGUAUCUACCAUAUCUUGCAUUAAUGCUGGCACUUUCUGAGGGGAGAAGACCCUCUUCUUCCUCCAGCCGUACUUUUUGAGAAGGGCUUGUUAAAUGUAUUUAAUCCAGUGCAUCCCCCUCAGGCAUCCCAAAGGGACCCUGAGCACCCAUCGUCCGGUUUCCAGCUGUGAAAGAGGGCACACAACAAGGUGCUGCCCACACACCCAGCAUAAAUCCCACUCAGAGAAACCAUGGGAAGCAACAGUGACUUACUACUAGAAGAAUAAAAUCUACUUCUAUGGAGCCA